UUCUUGAGCGCCUCCUG
Molecule: unclassified non-coding RNA, 17 nt
Filed under: Mus musculus (house mouse)
Lineage: Eukaryota; Metazoa; Chordata; Mammalia; Rodentia; Muridae
Description: oocyte_clustered_small_RNA12831
Source: RNAcentral